RNAcentral lists this ribosomal RNA (1372 nucleotides) under uncultured bacterium. RNAcentral describes it as "bacterial SSU rRNA". It matches the Rfam family "Bacterial small subunit ribosomal RNA", at positions 28 to 1381 of the family's 1533-position model. The record is from RNAcentral.
GAUGAACGCUGGCGGCGUGCCUAAUACAUGCAAGUCGAGCGAACGGACGAGAAGCUUGCUUCUCUGAUGUUAGCGGCGGACGGGUGAGUAACACGUGGAUAACCUACCUAUAAGACUGGGAUAACUUCGGGAAACCGGAGCUAAUACCGGAUAAUAUUUUGAACCGCAUGGUUCAAAAGUGAAAGACGGCCUUGCUGUCACUUAUAGAUGGAUCCGCGCUGCAUUAGCUAGUUGGUAAGGUAACGGCUUACCAAGGCAACGAUGCAUAGCCGACCUGAGAGGGUGAUCGGCCACACUGGAACUGAGACACGGUCCAGACUCCUACGGGAGGCAGCAGUAGGGAAUCUUCCGCAAUGGGCGAAAGCCUGACGGAGCAACGCCGCGUGAGUGAUGAAGGUCUUCGGAUCGUAAAACUCUGUUAUUAGGGAAGAACAUAUGUGUAAGUAACUGUGCACAUCUUGACGGUACCUAAUCAGAAAGCCACGGCUAACUACGUGCCAGCAGCCGCGGUAAUACGUAGGUGGCAAGCGUUAUCCGGAAUUAUUGGGCGUAAAGCGCGCGUAGGCGGUUUUUUAAGUCUGAUGUGAAAGCCCACGGCUCAACCGUGGAGGGUCAUUGGAAACUGGAAAACUUGAGUGCAGAAGAGGAAAGUGGAAUUCCAUGUGUAGCGGUGAAAUGCGCAGAGAUAUGGAGGAACACCAGUGGCGAAGGCGACUUUCUGGUCUGUAACUGACGCUGAUGUGCGAAAGCGUGGGGAUCAAACAGGAUUAGAUACCCUGGUAGUCCACGCCGUAAACGAUGAGUGCUAAGUGUUAGGGGGUUUCCGCCCCUUAGUGCUGCAGCUAACGCAUUAAGCACUCCGCCUGGGGAGUACGACCGCAAGGUUGAAACUCAAAGGAAUUGACGGGGACCCGCACAAGCGGUGGAGCAUGUGGUUUAAUUCGAAGCAACGCGAAGAACCUUACCAAAUCUUGACAUCCUUUGACAACUCUAGAGAUAGAGCUUUCCCCUUCGGGGGACAAAGUGACAGGUGGUGCAUGGUUGUCGUCAGCUCGUGUCGUGAGAUGUUGGGUUAAGUCCCGCAACGAGCGCAACCCUUAAGCUUAGUUGCCAUCAUUAAGUUGGGCACUCUAAGUUGACUGCCGGUGACAAACCGGAGGAAGGUGGGGAUGACGUCAAAUCAUCAUGCCCCUUAUGAUUUGGGCUACACACGUGCUACAAUGGACAAUACAAAGGGCAGCGAAACCGUGAGGUCAAGCAAAUCCCAUAAAGUUGUUCUCAGUUCGGAUUGUAGUCUGCAACUCGACUACAUGAAGCUGGAAUCGCUAGUAAUCGUAGAUCAGCAUGCUACGGUGAAUACGUUCCCGGGUCU